GACGAACGCUGGCGGCGUGCCUAAUACAUGCAAGUCGAACGAGAGCGACCGGUGCUUGCACUGGUCAAUCUAGUGGCGAACGGGUGAGUAACACGUGGGUAACCUGCCCAUCAGAGGGGGAUAACAUCCGGAAACGGAUGCUAAAACCGCAUAGGUCUUCGAGCCGCAUGGCUUGAAGAGGAAAAGAGGCGCAAGCUUCUGCUGAUGGAUGGACCCGCGGUGCAUUAGCUAGUUGGUGAGGUAACGGCUCACCAAGGCCGUGAUGCAUAGCCGACCUGAGAGGGUGAUCGGCCACAUUGGGACUGAGACACGGCCCAAACUCCUACGGGAGGCAGCAGUAGGGAAUCUUCCGCAAUGGACGCAAGUCUGACGGAGCAACGCCGCGUGAGUGAAGAAGGUUUUCGGAUCGUAAAACUCUGUUGUUAGAGAAGAACAAGUGCUAGAGUAACUGUUAGCGCCUAGA
RNAcentral lists this ribosomal RNA (463 nucleotides) under Granulicatella adiacens. RNAcentral's name for it is "bacterial SSU rRNA". It matches the Rfam family "Bacterial small subunit ribosomal RNA", at positions 28 to 472 of the family's 1533-position model. The record is from RNAcentral. Lineage: Bacteria; Bacillati; Bacillota; Bacilli; Lactobacillales; Carnobacteriaceae.